This 74-nucleotide transfer RNA is filed under the name Brassica napus (rape). Its description in RNAcentral is "tRNA-Met (CAT) (tRNA-Met-CAT-6-1, tRNA-Met-CAT-6-2)". It matches the Rfam family "tRNA". Rfam says of the family: Transfer RNA (tRNA) molecules are approximately 80 nucleotides in length. Lineage: Eukaryota; Viridiplantae; Streptophyta; Magnoliopsida; Brassicales; Brassicaceae. The record is from RNAcentral.
GGGGUGGUGGCGCAGUUGGCUAGCGCGUAGGUCUCAUAAUCCUGAGGUCGAGAGUUCGAGCCUCUCUCACCCCU